RNAcentral lists this ribosomal RNA (464 nucleotides) under uncultured bacterium. RNAcentral's name for it is "partial 16S ribosomal RNA". It matches the Rfam family "Bacterial small subunit ribosomal RNA", at positions 338 to 795 of the family's 1533-position model. The record is from RNAcentral.
CCUACGGGUGGCUGCAGUAGGGAAUCUUCCACAAUGGGCGAAAGCCUGAUGGAGCAACGCCGCGUGGGUGAAGAAGGUCUUCGGAUCGUAAAACCCUGUUGUUAGAGAAGAAAGUGCGUGAGAGUAACUGUUCACGUUUCGACGGUAUCUACCCAGAAAGCCCCGGCUAACUACGUGCCAGCAGCCGCGGUAAUACGUAGGUGGCGAGCGUUAUCCGGAUUUAUUGGGUUUAAAGGGUGCGCAGGCGGGGGAUCAAGUCAGCGGUAAAAUGUCGGGGCUAAACCCCGGCCGGCAGUUGAAACUGGUGUGCUAGAGUGGGAGAGAAGUAUGCGGAAUUCGUGGUGUAGCGGUGAAAUGCAUAGAUAUCACGAAGAACUCCGAUGGCGAAGGCAGCAUACCGGAUCCAGACUGACGCUGAGGCACGAAAGCGUGGGGAUCGAACAGGAUUAGAUACCCUUGUAGUC